AUGCUGCACUUGUGUGGACCGGAGACUGUGGUUUUCCAUUUACCUCUGGAGCUCCGCCACGGCGUCUGCGCUGCUGUAACCCGGCACGGUUUCAAAACCAGACAGCUACAGAAAUCCCUCCCUCUCCCCCGGCACAAAACAAUGGAGCCACAUCUGCCCCAGUGCAUUAAUGCUGCUGUUGGUCUGAAAGUCUUGUUGAGUGUCGGAGAAAGAGCAAAAAGGAAAGCUAAGAAAUUGGUAUUCAGAAGCAAACCUGCACUGAGAUUUAUUCACUGGAGCUGACAAGUGACAACUAUCCCAAGUAAGUAGCAAAUAUUUUACCAUUAUGGGUUGUGGGAACUUGUACUUAUUCUGUUGAUAUACAAGGAAAAGAUGAAAAUAUUACAGAUGCUAUAAUAAAAUGCAAAUAUGGUGACAGAUAUUUCCAAAUUUUGUAGUGGCAGAAAGAAACCAAACAAGCACAAGCUCUGAAAAUAUCUUCUGUGUUUAUAUUGGCGGUUUUAGUAGAUGCCGCUAAAGUGACCAAAACAGCCACUUAGCGUUUAUAUGUUCUGGUUAUGAGCUGCAGUCAUAGUUUUCCUCCUGUAUUGCUGGAAUGGGGGAAUGUUGUCCUAGACUGACCCGGAGUUGCUCUCAGAUCUACCCGUUUGCUGGAAAGCAUUAACAUGUUGGACCAUAGUGAGUUUUCAAUACAAAAUAACCACGUAAAUCUCUGCCCAGAUUCAGAUUUAACCACACUGUUAAUAGUCUUCCAGUCAAAUGUACUUCCAGGCAUAUUUUCCUCUGUGGCUGGCAGUUCUUCCAUCUCGAUUCAAAAUAAAUGUUAUCAUGGACAAUACUUGGCUUGAAACUCAACAAGAUGAUUGCAGAAGCAAUGGAAGCGUGUAAUGAUGUUGAUGAUGAGAGGACAGGGUUUAAACUCUUUAACUUCCUGAGUAUGUUUCUGUCCAAUUGAAAUGUCUGUUAUGAAGCUUUUAGUGACAAUAUACUUGAACAAAUAAGGAGGUUUGGAAAGUUUUGAACCGUUUUGUUGUUGUUGUUGUUGUUGUUGUUGUUUGUUGUUGUACUUUUGUAAAAUGAUUGGAAAUGACUGUAUUGCAGUGCUGACAGAGGUGUCAAUGCUGUUUUUUGUCAUUUAUUUCAAUAUGAAAACUGAAGUUUAACAUGUCUAACAUGUCAGGGUUAUUAUUAAUAACUAAAAUUAAAGCCAUAAAAAACAUUUCUCGAAAUAAAAUAAAUGUUAACUG
Molecule: long non-coding RNA, 1247 nt
Organism: Cyprinus carpio carpio
Lineage: Eukaryota; Metazoa; Chordata; Actinopteri; Cypriniformes; Cyprinidae
Source: Ensembl